RNAcentral lists this long non-coding RNA (224 nucleotides) under Glycine max (soybean). Its description in RNAcentral is "long non-coding RNA (GMAX_LNC003491)". The record is from RNAcentral. Lineage: Eukaryota; Viridiplantae; Streptophyta; Magnoliopsida; Fabales; Fabaceae.
CUUGUAUUUAGGGCUCCAUAUUAUAGGUAGGGUACCCUAGAAAUAUAGAAUUUUUCAGCCCUUGUAUUUUAGGGCACCUAGACUAGUUUUUGUAUUAGGGGUAGUUUUGUAAUUUCACAUGCACUAAGUGGAUAUUUGAUGUGUGUGGUUGGAAAUAAAUUUAAUUGAAUUGGUAGAAGCCCAAUCCAAUUAAAUUUUAGAGGGGGAGGUGAGCAUUUGCUUAC